CUCUGUGACUCCUACGGGAGGCAGCAGUGGGGAAUAUUGCACAAUGGGCGCAAGCCUGAUGCAGCCAUGCCGCGUGUAUGAAGAAGGCCUUCGGGUUGUAAAGUACUUUCAGCAGUGAGGAAGGUGGGUAUGUUAAUAGCAUACUCAUUUGACGUUAGCUGCAGAAGAAGCACCGGCUAACUCCGUGCCAGCAGCCGCGGUAAUACGGAGGGUGCGAGCGUUAAUCGGAAUUACUGGGCGUAAAGCGCAUGCAGGCGGCCUGUUAAGUCAGAUGUGAAAGCCCGGGGCUUAACCUCGGAAUUGCAUUUGAAACUGGCAGGCUAGAGUCUUGUAGAGGGGGUAGAAUUUCAGGUGUAGCGGUGAAAUGCGUAGAGAUCUGAAGGAAUACCAGUGGCGAAGGCGGCCCCCUGGACAAAGACUGACGCUCAGAUGCGAAAGCGUGGGGAGCAAACAGGAUUAGAUACCCUUGUAG
RNAcentral lists this ribosomal RNA (472 nucleotides) under uncultured bacterium. RNAcentral's name for it is "bacterial SSU rRNA". It matches the Rfam family "Bacterial small subunit ribosomal RNA", at positions 328 to 793 of the family's 1533-position model. The record is from RNAcentral.